AGAGAAAAUGUGGCGCCGGAGCUUUAGCGCGACGCCUGGUCAAUUGACUAAGAAGAAAUGGGACGCGUUGGUGAUCGGCGGCGGCCACAACGGUUUGGUAGCUGCAGCUUACCUAGCGCGCGGCGGUCUCUCCGUGGCAGUUCUCGAGCGACGCCACGUCAUCGGCGGGGCGGCAGUGACGGAGGAGAUCGUUCCGGGCUUCAAAUUCUCACGCUGCAGUUACGUCCAGGGACUAAUUCGUCCAUGCAUCAUUAGGUGAAAAACUUGUUUCGAUUUCUAGAUAAGUUGGUGCGUUCUCUGAUCAUGGAUUGUGAUCGAUUCAGUGAUUUGGAGUUAGGCAGACACGGGCUUAAGCUUCUGAAGAGGAGUCCUGCGUCGUUUACGCCUUGUUUGGAUGGGCGUUAUCUUCUUCUAGGCCCAGAUCAGGCGCUUAACCACUCUGAGAUUUCCAAGUUCUCGAGAAGUGAUGCUGAAGCUUACCCAAGGUGAUCUUGUUUUGGGCGUAAAUAGGAUAAUUUAAUUUCACUAGAACUUUUUUUUAUUUGGAUUUGCAGAUACGAGAAGCAGCUAGAGAGGUUUGGUAGAUUCAUGGAUACUCUCUUGGAUGCAGCUCCUCCAGAGUCUCUGCAAGGUGACUCUUCUUUUAAUGACAAGCUGAGCAAUAAGUUGCACAAAUCUGCUUUCUGGGCUCGGUGUCUCCGCCAAGCAGCUUCUUUGGGGCAAAAGGAUAUGGUGUAUGGUUUCUUAUCUCUUAAUGUGUGUGUGAUACACGUGCUCUCUAUCUCUCUAUGGUUAGUAUGGAAUAAUUAGAAGUGUCAAGCUAAUAAGAAGUAAUGCAGAGAGAGUCGUUUAGUGUUAUGUGAGUGUCUAUCUCACACGUGGAUUGGCACGUGAUAGUUAUAUGAGCAAUAGGUAGUAUACAACAAGGGUGUGAGAUUAGGGAAAGGCAUCACGCAACGCAAGAGAGUGGUCACUCAGGGGGAGGAGAGAGACUCCAUUAACAUCUCUCAAAGCUUGUAACACAGUUCUAUAAAUCAGUAAUAUAAAUGUUGUUUCUUGUUGGUCUAUAUCUUUACUGAAUCGUUACGCUUUGAGAGCCUCCAUUGUUGAUCUGAAUGCCUGCUCUUUGAUGCACUUGUGUUGUUUUGUUUUGUGAAGGGACUUCAUGGAUCUUCUAUUGGCCCCAGCUUCAAAAGUUUUGAACAACUGGUUUGAGGUUGUUUUCUGACCUUACCACGUCUUGGUUCUAUUAAUUAACAACUGGUAGCUAUAUCUGAUGUUAUACGGUUUCUGGUUGGCCUUAUACUUUCAGUCUGAUGUCCUGAAGGCGACUCUUGCAACAGAUGCUGUGAUUGGAUCUACGGUAAUUGAAUUUCUUAUUUAGAUCUUGAGCUUUGAGGUUUCAAAUUUUCUUGAUAUAUUUAUUAUUAUUAAUCUAAGGAAGGGGAAAGGUGAGAGAUGCUUCUUUAUGUUCAGGAAGCUGCUCAAUAGUAAAUUGGGGAGUUAAUGUAGUUCUCUGAACAUUUUUUGACAGGCCAGUGUCCAUACUCCUGGAAGUGGAUAUGUCUUGCUACAUCAUGUGAUGGGAGAAUCAGAUGGAGAGCAUGGCAUUUGGUCGUAAGUAUUCGAAAUAUCAAAUUGUAUUUUCUUCUAAAUGAAUUUGGCAAUGUAGAAAUAGUGGUGUAUGUUUUACAAAGGUCUGAAUGCGUAAGCAAUAGAAGAACUCUUUUUUACUUGAUAAUAAUAAAACAUGCAUUCUCGCGAGGGGUGAAUGAAGGGCACAAGAUGGUCUUUUAAAGUAAGGCCUGACUCUGCGUAGUAGCUGAUAAGAAAUAUUUUGUAGUUACGUCGAAGGUGGGAUGGGCUCUGUCUCCAUGGCUAUAGCCAAUGCUGCAAAGGAAGCUGGCGCUCAAAUUUUCACAAACGCAGAGGUAUUUGUUUUCGGGAUCAUUUUGAGGACUAUCUUGUUCCUAACAUCUCUUGUUCCUAGUUUCCAAAAAAAAAACAUCUCUUGUUCCUAACGUCUCUCCUAUCAUAAAGCAGAACCGCUUAGUACACUCUCAAUUUUACUCUGCAGGUUUCUGAAGUGUUGACUGAGGAUUCUAGCAGCGUGAAAGGGGUUAGUUUGUCUUUCAAUGAUUCCCGGAUAAAGUGAAAGCUUGAAUCAAAUACAUCUGACAUUAUCUGGUAUAAGGUUUUGCUUGCUGAUGGUACACGGGUGGAAUCAUCGGUUAUAUUGUCCAAUGCAACCCCUUACAGAACUUUUGUGGUAAAUCUUUUUGUGUCAUAUCAUGUCUACUUGAAAAACUCCAGUUUAUGCAAGUUUACAUUGAGGUCGUCUGUUUCGGAUAACAGGAGCUGGUUCCGUCCAAUGUUCUUCCUGAAAAGUUCGUCAGUGCUAUAAAGAACUCAGAUUACAGCUCAGUAAGCAUUUUUUAUUUAUUUUAUUUAAGUUCCUUAAGCCAAAUAGUUUAAUUAUUGCUCCAUCUAGCUAAUUGUUUUGGUGAUUGAUUGAUUUGUUUGCUGUGAACAGGCAACUACCAAAAUAAACAUGGCUGUUGACAAGUUACCGCAGUUCCAAUGCUGUAACAACACUAAUCAUUCGGGACCAGGACCAGAGCAUUUCGGCACUAUACACAUUGGUGCAGAGACGUAUGCCUCGUGCUAAUUUUAUCUUUGACUUUUGUAUCUCUAAGAACAAAUGAAAACAUCAACGUCUCUGUUUUAUCUCUGGCUUUGUCAGCAUGGACGAGGUUCACACAGCAUGUCAUGAUGCUGAAAACGGCUUACCAUCAAGAAGACCAGUGAUCGAAAUGACUAUUCCAUCCACACUAGACAAUACCAUAUCUCCUCCAGGCACGCUUAUUCUCCUUUUUCUUGUGUGUCUAGUAAUAAGAAUGCAUUUUAGCUCUGAAUGUGGUUUUGUGUUAUAGGGAAACAUGUAAUCAACUUGUUCAUCCAAUACACUCCUUACAAGCCAUCAGAUGGAACCUGGGAAGAUCCUGUGUAUCGAGUGAGUUAAGUUUAUACACUCUUAUCUAACGUCAUUUUUAUCACUCCUCAAAUUGUACAUUCCGUAUGGGAUGUUUACCAGCUUGAUUGUGUGAAAUCAGGAAGCAUUUGCACAAAGAUGUUUCAAAUUGAUUGAUGAAUAUGCACCUGGGUUUAGCUCAUCCGUCAUUAGCUACGAUAUGCUGACUCCUCCCGAUCUCGAAAGGGAAAUUGGUCUAACAGGUAGAUUAUGCAGUAAAAGCUUCCUAUUAAAAGGGAUAUGAAAUGAUCCAAACCAUAUUGACAUCCCCACCAUGUGUUCCGUAGGAGGAAACAUCUUUCACGGUGCCAUGGGAUUAGAGUCUCUCUUCUUGAUGCGGCCGGUGAAAGGAUGGUAAAUCUUAUGCACACCCUUCUCACAAUUCAGAAACAGUCCAUACGAUUCAUGAUUUAAAAAAGGUGGGAAAAUGUGACACAGGUCGAACUACAAAAGUCCUUUGAAAGGACUCUACUUGUGCGGAAGUGGAGCUCACCCCGGAGGUGGAGUUAUGGGCGCACCGGGAAGAAACGCAGCUCUUGUUGUUCUUCAAGACUUGAAAUAAAUCUAGAGACGUCAAUGUUAACUGUAUCUGUUUAGGAGGACUCUUUGACUUCAACUUAAAAACUUCUGUUGCUUUGUACUUCGCUGUCUCUCUUGGUAAGGACAGAUGUGUUACUAUCCAAUAAGAAGCCUCCACGUGUAUGUUUACCUAAAAAAGACCUAAGUGGCUAAAGGAACAAUUAUGAGAAGUGAUAAAAAGCACAUUGGCGCCGCAAAAUACGAAGGAAAUCUUCGAUGGAAAAUCUUUCUCCUCUACGAGACGACGAUGAGGAAAACGAAGUAGACGAAGCCAAAAUGCUCCUCAUCGGUGAGAACGGAACCAACGGUGAUAGCUUCUCUCCUCGGUCCGACGGUGCACCGGAGCUCCAGCAUUACACUAUCCGCUCCAUCAAGUCAACGGUCGUGAUUCGUCAACUGACGUCACAGGGUCUCUCCUUCCAGCUCUGGCCAGCCGCUUCUACUUUCGUCGCGCUUCUCGAUAACUACCGCCUCGACCCUGCCAACAGCCCCCUCGCCGCAACACUCUCCUCGCUGAAACCCGCCGGCUCUACUACUACACCGAUGAACAUUCUCGAGCUCGGAUCCGGAACCGGCGUCGUCGGAAUCGCCGCGGCGAUCACUCUUUCUUCUCAGUGUGUAGCGGAUCUCUUAUACCGCUAGCAACAACACUAAUACCAUCUAAAGAGUAUAGCUGCGGAGGAACGUUCUUCAGAACUACCCAAGUUGGUGCAAAGAGCAACUCCUGAGCCGCCAGAUUCCCAUCCGCUGUCCAAGGAUAAACCGAGAAGGCACACCUAUCUGCCUGCCAGUAACCCACUUGCAGCACCCAUUCUCUAGUCUGCACCUAGGGGAUGUAAAUCAAGACACAGGUUUCCGAGACCGUUCUGACCGUAAUACUACCGAACUUUCCCCACACUGGGUUCAAAUCAGUAAUAAUCUUUGAAGCAGAAGGACGACGACCGUGAAAGUGAGCCACCACGUGGUCUUUCCAAAGUUCCAAAGUUUUGAGAAGCACAGACUCCGGCGCUUGAACUACCGGCGUCCCGUCCUCUAAGAGCGACGGAUCUGAGAUCUUACGGAGAUUCCUCAAGGACGAUUUGAACCGCGCCGCGUACGAUGGAACGUGCGUAGCUGGAAUCGUCGCUGGGAUCGAAGGAGACUGGAGCUUCAUCUCCAAAUCGCGAUUGCGGAGCUGAGUGUCGCGAUUUGAGAUUCUCGCAGAAGAGGCCCCUCCUGGGUCAAUAGGAGGGCUCAACGAAGGAGCGGAGACCGGAAUCGUCAUGAGAGACAAACGGCGGGGAAUGACUUCUCGCUAGCCGGCGAAAGGCCAACUAACGGCGGAGAGAACCGAAAACCCUAAACGCCCAAAUCGCCCUUUAUUUCGCUCUUAGGAGAGAGAAAAAAGCCUUCCAAAAACACCAAAUUUAAAAACACCAAAUUACAAAUUCAAAAUGAUAAUAUUCUAAAAUUUAUAAAAAGAUAAAAUCAUAGAUGCUAAAAUACAAUUCUUGAAAUCAAAUGUAAUACAAUAUUUGAAAUGUAACACAAAAGAAAUUAUGUUGUAAAAAUCAAAAGUACUAUAAUAUUACUACUAUAUUACUAUCAUCCAAAAUUUAAAACCAUAACAUCCAAAAAUAUCAGAUACUACUAUGCAUACAAUUUAUCAAAAUAAUAGAGUUAUAUUAUUUAAACAUAACAAUGUAGUUACUUAUAAAACCUCCUAAAAUACUUAAGUGGUAGAUGUUACAGUAUUAUAUAUUUAAACAUAAUAUGGAAAUAUAAAGUAUCAUAAACAAAUAUCCUUCUACUUUAUAACUAAAUAAAUUUUAAAAUGUAUCGUAUGCAAAUUGUAAAAAAUUAAAAAACUAUAUUAAAGGAGAUUAUUUAUUUGAUUAUUUCAGAUUAUAAUUUAUGUAACGAACUCAAAAAUAUAUUAAUAAGUGAUAACAAUCAAUAAAAAAUUGAAAUGCAUAAAAAGUCACUACUUGACAAAAAAAAACAAAUCACUAUAUAUCAAUAAUGAUGAUAAGAAACUUAAACAAUAAGAUUAUAUAGAUUUACAAUAUAUAACACUAAAUAUAAAUCAUAUAUAAAACUUCUAUGAUAAUAUCAAAGUUAUAUAUUUAUAAAAUGAAAAAUAUAUGCAUGUUUGUGCGGGUUAAACUCUAGUUUUUGGUUUAUUUUACACAUUUUUAAAUAGAUUUGCUAGAUUUUAAUUAAAAAAUGUGUGACAUUUUCAAACUGAGUGAUACAUAAAUGUGUUUGGAUAUUUAUGUGUCAAACAUUUAGAACUGAGCCAGUCAAGAACUAAAUAGAGCCGACCUAAAACCGAAACCGAUAUAAAAGUAACUUAAUAAGAAUCAACAUUAAUCUGGUCCAAAAACCCAAAUGUCCAAAUCUACGUAUAAGUUUAUAUUCCUAACUUGUAAGGUAAAAUUAUUAAAUUUACACUAAAGUGUUUAUAAUCCUUGUAUACUAAGACUAACUUCUUAAUGUCGUUUGAAUGUAUGAUACGAAGGUCAUCUGCCCACCAAGAAAAAGUAAGAGUUGAUAAAGUUAAAGGGUAUUUAUGUGACCCCCAAUAACAAGAAGUAACAUUUUUGAAAGAAAUGACACUUUGAUGCUUACUUUUAAAAAGUCUAGACUCUAAACAAAGUUGUCCUUUAAAUAUCACUAGCAUUUAGUUAAAAUGUAAACAAAAUGAUUUGGAAUGGGGUAUACAAUGAAAGGGAUGGUGUAGUUGAUGUGGGGGGCUCCAAAAACUUAGGAAAAUUUGCUUUAAUCUUAACUUUUGAUUUUUAAAUUAAUGAAGCAAAUCUAAGGGAUGGGAAUGUGUGCUUUAUGUUCGGUGGCUAGUAACUCAAAUCAGCAGUCUAUGUAGAAUUCGUGUUGUCAAAAAACUCUUUAAGGACAUUGUAACGUAAUUCAGGCAAAGGGUUACCAUGACGAACAUUUACAAUCCUCGACAUAUAUUCUUUGACAAUCACAAAGAUCCAUUGAUAAUCGCCGAAGGUCUUCUAUUCACCAGCGAUAAUGGUCCGUCAUAGAAUCCCUACAUAGAAAAACAUAGGAGGUUAGGUACUUAGACUAUCCGCAACCGUGAUACUGGGUAAAAAACCCUUAGAAUUUUAUUUUUAUUUUUUAUUAUUAUUUUUUUUUUCAGCUGAAAAAAAAUGACCAAUGGUAAGCCGCCACUUAACAGCAGGAUCCGCGAACAGUUACAAUGUUCCAAACGAAUUGAUCCUUAGAGAAUGAUUUGAAGAGGCCAAUCCUUAACAUCAAGUUUUUUACUAUUUUUUACCUAGGUUUUGGAGCUAAAAAAUUGGCAAGAAACUCCAUUGCGGAUGCUCUUAUAUUAUAUCUUUUUUAUUUAUGAUUAGGGUUAAAAAACUAACCCAACUUUAGAUAUAAUCAUAUAAUCCCAGCGAAUAGUGGCAAUUAAUCUGGGUCGUGGAUGUCAAUGAUCAACAACUGAUCCAACGAUCUUAAAGUUGAAGCAAAUAUGUGUUUUGUCAAGAUCUGGCAAGAAUGCAACUUAUAUUUAAGGUAUAAAUAGUGACCAUGGAACGGCGAGGAUUAGGAAUAAUACAUUCCAUAACGUUCCCAAAAAAAAACACCAUUCACAAGGAAUAAUAAUUCCAUCGCAUUCCCUAUCAUUCCUUUUUUUGUAGAGAAUUGAAGAACAAAAUUAUUCUUUGAUAAAAUUGAUAAGAAACAACCAUUCCUUUUUAUUCCUGUUAUUUUAUUCCCGAACAUUCCUUUUUUAUUCGUUCAUUUUGUUUCCCGAAUGGUCACCAGUCAGACCCUUAGCUAAGACUCAACGGUAGUUUAAGGAAAAAUAUCAUUGGAAUAAAAAAUGUCACAACAUGUAAUAAAUAAGCUAAAAUGUGACCGGAGGCAUAAUAUUCUCUAAUGAUCUUUCCAUUUUUCAUUCCUACUUGAUUUGCCAUCUCAAUUCCAUGAUUAAGGGGAGACUAUCAUCCAAAUAUGCAAUGGCUUCAGACAAAUCUUCAAGUUUCACUGUCCUAAUUUCAUCAAUAUAUCUGCAGUCUUGAACCAACUAAUCCCAAUCUAAACCUACUUUGUAAAGUCAUCCAAAAUAUUAGGACUAUAAUUACAAUUUACGAAAACUAUUUGGGGUUAAAACAAAUACGUGCUAACAAUUGGGACUGUUAUGUGAAUUUACAAAACAUACAUGUGGCUAUUUUGAAGUCGUACAACUAAUUGAACCUUACUGUAAAUUGUCAAAACUAUUGGGGACGAAAGUAAAUCACCAACUUGGAGUGGAGUGACAGACUUUUGAGUAGAGAAACGUGGACUGAAGAAGAGAAAAUGUGGCGCCGGAGCUUUAGCGCGACGCCUGGUCAAUUGACUAAGAAGAAAUGGGACGCGUUAGUGAUCGGCGGCGGCCACAACGGUUUGGUAGCUGCAGCUUACCUAGCGCGCGGCGGUCUCUCCGUCGCAGUUCUCGAGCGACGCCACGUCAUCGGCGGGGCGGCAGUGACGGAGGAGAUCGUCCCCGGCUUCAAAUUCUCGCGUUGCAGUUACGUCCAGG
Molecule: long non-coding RNA, 8147 nt
Filed under: Brassica napus (rape)
Lineage: Eukaryota; Viridiplantae; Streptophyta; Magnoliopsida; Brassicales; Brassicaceae
Description: long non-coding RNA (BNAP_LNC009732)
Source: RNAcentral